Molecule: small nucleolar RNA, 138 nt
Organism: Ornithorhynchus anatinus (platypus)
Lineage: Eukaryota; Metazoa; Chordata; Mammalia; Monotremata; Ornithorhynchidae
Source: RefSeq, a predicted model, not a curated record
CCCCUCUCAGCAUCACACCUGGAGAGUUUCCAGAACUCUACCAGUCUCGGCUACGGGAGGGAGAGUCAAGCAGAAGUCUACCCAUUCCAUUCCUAGCUUGGCCAGUGGCUAGGGAGUGAAAGGGAAUCUGCUACAAAC